This 663-nucleotide long non-coding RNA is filed under the name Macaca mulatta (Rhesus monkey). Its description in RNAcentral is "lncRNA (ENSMMUG00000050374.1)". The record is from RNAcentral. Lineage: Eukaryota; Metazoa; Chordata; Mammalia; Primates; Cercopithecidae.
CCACUCCUAAAUCCAUGCAAUGAUUCUAUGGAUUUUUGGAUGGCCACCUGAAGACUAAAGCUGGUUUUCCCUUUUGUGGUGCUGGCCUUCAUCAGUGUAGGUAAUUAUCAUUUGUUUAUUCUCUAAUUCACUCAUUCAUUUGACAGGCACUGACUGAGUGCCUCCUGGAUGACUAAUAUUGUGCUGAAUUAAUCCUUAGUGACUGUAUCAUUUAAUGAGGAAGACAAAUAAAUAAGUGUUUUGGUGCUAUGAAAAGAGUCUGCCCAGAGCACAGAGGAGAUACAAAAUGAAGCUGUUGAUUCUGCCUGCAGGAACAGGAAUUGCUUUAUGAAGGUGUCACAGAAAUUACAGCUGAAUCUUGGAAGGCUUUCCUGCAGACUGGAUACUUUUUUAGGGCAUACGCCACAGGAUCGUGACUUCAAUUUUAAAUCCAAGAGUAUCUCCAAGAAUCUUCUCCAAAAGCGUGGUGGUCAUUCAUCUGGGCCAACUGAUCAGCAGAGGAAAAAGGCAGUAAAUGGAAAUGAAGAUGGUAAUAAAUGUAUUUUAUUUUAAAAAGCGUUUCACAUAAUUUUUACUUGAAAACAUUAGCACCGAUGUAUUAUAACAAGCAAAGGAAGAUCACUUACUGAAUUCACAGUAAGAAAAAAGAAAACUGAAAAGGUG